Molecule: RNA transcript, 1041 nt
Organism: Fundulus heteroclitus (mummichog)
Lineage: Eukaryota; Metazoa; Chordata; Actinopteri; Cyprinodontiformes; Fundulidae
Gene name: chitotriosidase-1-like
Exons: 5
Source: RefSeq, a predicted model, not a curated record
CUAGAUUUCAUCAAUGUAUGACCUAUGACUUCCAUGGAACUUGGGAGCAGUUCACUGGCCAUAACAGUCCGCUUUACCGUGGAUCUGAGGAUUUUGGUGCAAUCUAUUUCAAUACUGAUGCCAUGAGGUACUGGAGAGACAAUGGCACCCCAGCAGAGAAGCUGAGAAUGGGAUUUGCAGCCUACGGUCGUACCUUCCGUCUAACCUCUUCAGAUACAGGGUUGGAGCCCCUGCUAGUGGCCCCGCAUCAGCUGGACCAUACACCCGCGAAGCUGGAUUCUGUCUUACUAUGAAGGCACCCCCCAUCCGUGGAAUCAGUGACCAGAACGUUCCCCUAUGCGACUAAAAAUAAUGAGUGGAUAGGCAUUCGACAACAAUGGGAAAGGCUCGACCAAAUCCAGCUACCUGCAGGAGCAGAAGUUUGGCGGUGCUUUUGUAUGGGCCCUUGAUUUAGAUGACUUUGCUGGAAAAUUCUGUGGAGAAGGAAACCACCCUCUCCUUUCCCAUCUUCGCAGUCUUCUUAAUAUGCUUCCACCACUGCCCUCAACCACCACCCCCAAACCUGGCGCUAGCACUACAUCUCCAACCACCACCACCACCACCACUACACAUGCUCCAGGACCUGGCUUCUGCAAUGGUAAACCUGAUGGCCUGUAUCCCAACCCAGACGACAGGACCAGUUUCUACAUGUGUGCUGCAGGCAUCACACACGUGAGGUUCUGUGGAACUGGAUCGGUCUUUGAUGACAACUGCAAGUGCUGCGUUUGGCCUUGAGCUUUCAAUGGUAGUAAAACACAAUAAAGCUGACACCAACAAUUGAAAAGACUCUAAAUUCCCUCUUCCAUCCAUCUACUGUUUGUGUAAUCAGGUACCUAUAUGUACUAUUAGCACAGAAAAAAUGUAUAGUUUUAGUGACGUAUGGGACAAGAAAUAUAAUUUGCAAACAUAUACCAGCUAAAAGAAACUACCUUUAUACCCUUGACAACACUACGGAGAGCUGUCAAUGUAUAUGUCAUUGGAAAUAAAGGAAUAAAAACAUUU